AUUGAACGCUGGCGGCAUGCUUUACACAUGCAAGUCGAACGGUAACAGGUGAAGCUGACGAGUGGCGAACGGGUGAGUAAUGCAUCGGAACGUGCCCGGUCGUGGGGGAUAACGCAGCGAAAGCUGCGCUAAUACCGCAUACGAUCUGAGGAUGAAAGCGGGGGACCGUAAGGCCUCGCGCGAUCGGAGCGGCCGAUGUCAGAUUAGGUAGGUGGUGGGGUAAAGGCUCACCAAGCCGACGAUCUGUAGCUGGUCUGAGAGGACGACCAGCCACACUGGGACUGGGACACGGCCCAGACUCCUACGGGAGGCAGCAGUGGGGAAUUUUGGACAAUGGGCGCAAGCCUGAUCCAGCAAUGCCGCGUGCAGGAAGAAGGCCUUCGGGUUGUAAACUGCUUUUGUACGGAGCGAAAAGGCUCUCUCUAAUACAGGGGGCUCAUGACGGUACCGUAAGAAUAAGCACCGGCUAACUACGUGCCAGCCGCCGCCGUAA
Molecule: ribosomal RNA, 493 nt
Filed under: uncultured bacterium
Lineage: Bacteria
Description: partial 16S ribosomal RNA
Rfam family: Bacterial small subunit ribosomal RNA
Source: RNAcentral